Molecule: ribosomal RNA, 494 nt
Filed under: uncultured bacterium
Lineage: Bacteria
Description: partial 16S ribosomal RNA
Rfam family: Bacterial small subunit ribosomal RNA
Source: RNAcentral
GACGAACGCUGGCGGCGCGCUUAACACAUGCAAGUCGAACGGAAAGGCCUGCUUUCCCUUGUGGAUUGCGGGUACUCGAGUGGCGAACGGGUGAGUAACACGUGAGUGAUCUGCCCCCAACUUGGGUAUAAGCCUGGGAAACUGGGUCUAAUUCCCGAUAGGACUGCAGGGUGGUGCCUGUGGUGGAAAACGAUUUUCUAGUGGUUGGGGAUGAGCUCGCGGCCUAUCAGCUUGUUGGUGGGGUAAUGGCCUACCAAGGCGGCGACGGGUAGCCGGGCUGGGAGGGGGGACGGCCAAAUUGGGACUGGGACACGGCCCAGACUGCAACGGGAGGCAGCAGUGGGGAAUAUUGCACAAUGGGCGGAAGCCUGAUGCAGCGACGCCGCGUGGGGGAUGACGGCGUUCGGGUUGUAAACUCCUUUCGACCGCGAGGAAGCCACCUGGUUGGAAGGGUGGUGACGGUAGUGGUAGAAGAAGCACCGGCUAACUACGUG